RNAcentral lists this transfer RNA (88 nucleotides) under Candidatus Izimoplasma sp. HR1. RNAcentral's name for it is "Candidatus Izimaplasma sp. HR1 tRNA". It matches the Rfam family "tRNA". From Rfam's summary of the family: Transfer RNA (tRNA) molecules are approximately 80 nucleotides in length. Their secondary structure includes four short double-helical elements and three loops (D, anti-codon, and T loops). Lineage: Bacteria; Bacillati; Mycoplasmatota; Mollicutes; Candidatus Izemoplasmatales; Candidatus Izemoplasmataceae. The record is from Rfam by way of RNAcentral.
GGAGGAAUACCCAAGUCUGGCUGAAGGGACUGGUCUUGAAAACCAGCAGGCGAGUAAUCGCGCGGGGGUUCGAAUCCCUCUUCCUCCG